Molecule: ribosomal RNA, 250 nt
Filed under: uncultured prokaryote
Description: partial 16S ribosomal RNA
Rfam family: Bacterial small subunit ribosomal RNA
Source: RNAcentral
UACGUAGGGGGCGAGCGUUGUCCGGAAUUACUGGGCGUAAAGGGCACGCAGGCGGUGCAUCAAGUCAGCUGUAAAAGGAUGCGGCUUAACCGUAUUAUGCAGCUGAGACUGAAGUACUGGAGUGCUGGAGAGGCAAGUGGAAUUCCCAGUGUAGCGGUGAAAUGCGUAGAUAUUGGGAAGAACAUCGGUGGCGAAGGCGACUUGCUGGCCAGUAACUGACGCUGAGGUGCGAAAGCCAGGGUAGCAAACG